RNAcentral lists this small nuclear RNA (38 nucleotides) under Cervus elaphus hippelaphus. It matches the Rfam family "U2 spliceosomal RNA", at positions 1 to 38 of the family's 192-position model. Rfam says of the family: U2 is a small nuclear RNA (snRNA) component of the spliceosome (involved in pre-mRNA splicing). Complementary binding between U2 snRNA (in an area lying towards the 5' end but 3' to hairpin I) and the branchpoint sequence (BPS) of the intron results the bulging out of an unpaired adenosine, on the BPS, which initiates a nucleophilic attack at the intronic 5' splice site, thus starting the first of two transesterification reactions that mediate splicing. The record is from RNAcentral. Lineage: Eukaryota; Metazoa; Chordata; Mammalia; Artiodactyla; Cervidae.
AUCGCUUCUCGGCCUUUUGGCUAAGAUCAAGUGUAAUA